CUCUACGCCCAGGCCCAAUUUCAUUGAAGGUGAUUUAUUUUAUUUAAUUUUUUAAAUUUUGAUCCCAUUAUUAGGAGUAUUAGAAAUUCGCUAGGAAUAUCCUUCACACCUACCGCACCCUGGUGCGUAUUGCAGACAACAGUGGAAGCGAUUCUGACACGAAUCCUGAUGCCGCGCCUCAACAUUAUCAGCCAAUCUCAGCCAUCGAUGUUGAUGAUGAUGAGGACGGCUCCUCCGAUCAAGGCAACUCAGAUGAAGAAUACCAUAGCUAUUCUCGAGGUGAAGCAGAGAACGGAAUCUCGUCUCUUCAUAUAAACGGCGACAUGGAGCAGAAGAGCAGCAGCAGCGAUGAAGAGGAGGCGGAGGAGAGAGUGACUGAGGCGUCUGAUUCGGCGAUACUCAGGGCUUUUAGAGAGGAUGAGAAUCGAAGAAACGCGCCGUUGACGGCUGAGAAUGCGAUGCGAGUGAGGGAAGCAAUGAGAGGGAUAUCGUUCGGAGGAUCCGCUCCCGAUUGGGCGGGUCGAGUUCCUGAAGAUGAGUGGAUCAAUCAGCUUCGGAGA
This 560-nucleotide unclassified non-coding RNA is filed under the name Hevea brasiliensis (rubber tree). Lineage: Eukaryota; Viridiplantae; Streptophyta; Magnoliopsida; Malpighiales; Euphorbiaceae. The record is from RNAcentral.